Molecule: long non-coding RNA, 7477 nt
Organism: Gasterosteus aculeatus aculeatus (three-spined stickleback)
Lineage: Eukaryota; Metazoa; Chordata; Actinopteri; Perciformes; Gasterosteidae
Source: Ensembl
AACAGAACAUGUGAACAUGCAUGUGACCGCACUUAUCCGGCACCCAGCAUGUCUUUGAAAACGUCUAACUACACAAACACGCACAUUCUUUGGAAUUCACACACACAUACAGUCUAGUAACGGUUGAACGGGCCAAAGAAACCAAAGAAAAUAAGAGAAGGUAGAACGGAGAUUGAGUCUUUCCUUUGGUUAUUUUCCUGAUACGAAAGAGUAUUUGCUCCCCGCUCGCUGGCGGACCUGAUUGGCGCUCUCGGAUUUGGACAUUGAUUUGCCUUCAUGCUGUUAGACGCGGCAAGCUGCUCGGCUAACCGACUCUCUAUUCACUUCAUUCAUUUCAAAACUUACUGUCUGCUUGCUAGCAUGCUAAUUCCAACAUGCUUUAAUGUUGCACUGGUUAGCCUACUGAAAGGAACAAGCUAUUAGCUAAUAUGUCUGUUUGAACUGUAUAUCUAUACAAAGCCUCAAACAACAGUAGAGGUAUGGCUGACGCUUUGCCCGUCCUGCUCUGUGGAUUUGAACGCGAUCGUCCUUGGGUCCAAAUCCCUGGUUUAUUAUCCGCCAAGCCCUUGUCAUAGGUUUACACGCUCCUGGUGUGUGUACGUGUUUGCAGGUUUGCAGUGUCUAAUGAGGGGCUUGACUCACGGGGGUGAGUGGUGGUUUCGAGCACAGAGGUCAGCUGAGCACAAAAGGCGAGAAAAGAUGAAAAUGAGGCAGAGCAAGUGCUCUGCUGAGGUCAAGUGCGGUGGGCGCUGGGGGCGUUCUGAUUUUGAAACAUAACAACGUAGCGCCACCGGUGGGGUUACGGUGGUACAGGGCCAAGUGGAAAUGUUUUGAGUGCCGAACACCUCACUGCCUGCCGGCUGAGAGCGGACAUAGAACCUUCAUGAGGAAGCAUGUUUUCUGCUGUGCCCACCAAACCUUUAUAUGCACACUAUUAGAUUAUGCACAUACAUUUAUGUGUGGUUUGAUCAGCCCUGUCGCACAAUGCAGAUAAUCGUUUCACAACCUCCAACUCAACCUGGUACUGUUGGGUUCAGUUUAGGCCACUAAAAAUAGUUUGUCGCAGUUGCAAAAAGAUCACGGUCAAUGCAAAUCAGCAUUUAGUUUGAAUGAGAACUCAUUCACUCGCUCAUCAGAUACCCACACCUUGUCCGUGGCUGUCGGCCUCUCAUUCCAACUCACGAGAAACCCUUCAGCGUCCGAAUGAGACGGACUACGCUUACAACAAACUCCAGCGAAAAAACCCAUCCGAUUCAGAAAGCACGGUGCGUCGGGUUUAUCGAAAAGUGUCACUAGAGGGGAACCUAGAAUGUCACACUGGGAAGUGUACUGAAACCGACUACUUGACAAGCUGGGGCUGAGAUUGUGUUGAAAGGUCACACAUUAGAUCUUCACCCCAUUCAGGAGUUUCACUUGUGAGGUAAAGACAAUGGUAAUGGUUGUUUGGGGAGGACGGGUCACAAGAGGUUUUUUGCUUUUUCUCCCUCUACUUCUCUGCUCGAGGUUACUCAAGUGUUAACCAUCUUUCUGAAAUAAUUGUACAAAAGUGAUAAGAAACUUGUAUUGCCGAUCAUUUUACGGUUCUGACAAAGUCCAACAGUUUAUGUGACUUUACCAAAAGGUCCCUGCGGUGUCACCCAUGUGGAUACGGCCCUUAUCUCCUUCAUUUGACUCUUGCCAAACAGGAAACUAGCAAAUGAAUUUAGCAGAGUCUCAUACCCAUGCACACACAAUUAAGACAUCAGGGGCCUAUCAGAUUAUCUGUUGUUGUCAGGGUUACGGCGAGACCAAUGUGGACAUGUAAACAGUAUUGGAGAAGGAUUAUGUAACACAACAGGCGGGUUGUGGAUUAGUACUAUUUGAAGAAACGGAUAGGGAUUAUUCAGCGAGGCAGCUUCACUUUGAUGUCACAUGAGGGAAAUUUGUAUGCAGUCAUGCAUCUAGAAGAUACUAUACAUCGCUCGGUGCACAAACAUGUACGUAGAUUUGCAGCACUGCCAGAGACCUUGUAAGGACCUCCAGUAAUUACAGUACGUCAAGCCUUUCCUGUCGAUGUUUUUCACCCUGGAGAGCCCACAUUAGAAGGGGGCGCCUGAAUGAAAAUGAAUCCCAACUAACUAACAGAAAUGUAUAAUGUAUGUCUGUGCCCCGAAGGAGAGCUCCUUCGGCCGGACUCAAGUGCCCCUGAAGAGACUGUUGGCUCUGGUCAUAAUGGAGAAGAACAGGACCCCCCCCCCCCGACCCCCUCCCCAAUUACACUGCAGAAUCAAGUGCUGUGUAGCACAAAAGAAAAAAACCCUGAGAAUGAGGAGGAGAAAAACAGUUUGAGAGUUGAAUCUUUGGGAAAGUUAUUGUUGUUGACCGUCCUAAUUGCUUUUGAUUACGUAGUUUUGGACACUUUAUUCUGAAAGCUGGCGCGAGAGGCUGGCGAGAGCACUUUCCGUGAACGCUCCGUGGCCCCCGUUCAUCUAAUGGCAUCUAAUGUCACGUCCCGCGACUUCUUUUCAUCCCAGUGUUUCCUAAACUCGCGGUGGUCAUUCCUGGCUUCAGUUCAGCCGUUGGGUCAGAACCUUCUGCUGAUGGCAGUGGUGGAGCGUGUGACUGUCAGGGAGGACCCCCCUCCUUUCUGUUCCUCUCCAACCUGCUCAUCGGCCUCCUCUCCUUUAUCCCCUCCUUCUUCCCUUCCCUUCAGCUGGCCGGAGGAUGCAUGGUUCAGUGGGUGCCAUCAGUCACUACCUCCCCCCAUCGUCCCUCCCCACCUUUUACCUCUCUCCCUCUCCCCACAUUUUCCAGACCCCUGCCGCACUAAGCUGAGCUUAAGAGUCAGCUGAGCUGAUCAAAGAACCGUAGCCAUGUAGUGGCUAACAAGAGGCGAGAGUUCCCAACGACACAGGACCUCCCAGGGGUUUCCACCGACAUAGAGCUACUGCGACUAGAAUGGAUAGACGCGCUCCUUGCGCGGUUGCGUGAGAAGCUGCGUGGUAGACCGUGGCAGUCUGCUUUUCCGGUAAAGGUAUUCAUUCUUGCCGUGGACGGGCUCGGCCCCGCGGGGAGUUUUACCGGUCUGCCCCGGUGAUUUUUGGCCUCCAUUGUCUAGCAUCCCCUUAGCGCGGGGAAGGCCCGGGUCUCGUUCCCAGCACUGCCCUUCCUCUCACCUCCACGCCCCACCCCCCUUCUCCAUCACCCACCCUGCCCGUCACGUACACCCCGUCCAGUUUCUUUUGCAUGUUCUGGCCCCUUAUUAUAACUACAAUUAGCCAGAGCAGGAUUUCCCUCCUCUUACUCCUCCCUUUGUUCCCCAUUUCUUCUUUUGUCCUUCGUGACAUUCUCUCCUUCUGUUUUCCUCCAUACUGCUAUGUGUUAGUCCAGCCGUAAACCAUAAUCUUCAGUAACAGUGUCUUUUAGCUUGCCUUGAGCCUAUUUCUCGAAAAAUUACUGAGUGUCAGCAUUAUAUACAGUCAGUAAACAUCUCAUCUUUUUGCUAAUACAAAAAUGUAGAACAGCCAACAGAUGAUCAUCACAUUGAUCCCUCUGGAAAUCAAACAGAGGGGCGUUCUAAAUGAUGGCUAUCGGUAGGACGCCCUGCUGACUUUGUGAAACAAAUGUUUAGACUACAGGCGUUGGGUAAAAAUUUAAAUCAAAUCAAUUUCAGCAAACAUCCCAGGUAACAUUACAUUACAUUACAGGUCAUUCAGCUGACGCUUUUGUCCAAAGCGACUUACAUUACUUUAUUAACCCAUGGCUUUUUACAUUUGUUUGCCCGGGGAGCAAUUAGGGGUUAGGUGUCUUGCUCAGGGACACUUCGACAUGGGGCAGCCGGGGCUCGAACCACCAACCUUGCAGUUCCCGACGUUUGGUUGGAAGGUUGAUUUAAUGCAAAACAAUUAAGGUAUCAAAAUCACAUAAAAACAGUGAAUAACACUUUGACAAUCUCAUUUCUGUCACCCUCACAGGUAAUUGAGUAUAAUAUAAUAUAUACAUCAAAUAUAAUCAGUAUGAUACUGAUUACAUUACAUACAGUGCUAUAAUAUGUACUGUAUUCAAGUCAGUCAUCUCAUCUGCUUGAAGACAAUAAAAUCCAUGCUCUUUACUUCCUCCAGAUUACCGAUAUGUUGCCCAAGUCCGACUCUAUGAAAGGAAGAGUUGUAUGUCACACAUUUUUAUAUUUAAUCUGCAAUUGGCCAAAGUGCUUUUUAGACCCGCCUUCUGGGCAAACUUGACAUUGUCCCUAGCGCAGCUAGGACACGCAUGACGACAGGACGUAUAUGACAGGCAGGGACCUGCAGGAAAAGCAUAUAUUUUACAAAUAUUAUUGGGUACAUUUCAUCAUUCAAGUAUUGAUAUUUUUUGUUUUUCGUUUCGUUUUUGGGGCUCAAAGACAAAGAAAAAGACAGACAGACAGCCAAUAGAGGGCCAUUGCCCUCUAUUGGCUGUCUGUCACUGUCUAUAUAUCUAAAUCUGUUUAAUUGAUUUUAACUAAAUGCAUUUUCCAAAACUUCAAAAGUGACUUGUAGAAUAGAUUUAUUAUUUGUUACUUCGGCGUAAUAGGUAAUAAAAUAAUUUGUGUGUCUUUGGGAAAAUUAUUUUAACCAAAAAGAAACUCGAAGGUUUAAUUUGUUUGCUUGACAGAAUCCCGGAGCUUCUUUUAUGCACCGAAGGAAAUGCAUGACAUACAGAUUAAAGGCUCAGAAAACGUUAGCGACUGGACUUCAAACAAAGCGAUACACCCUGGACAGGUCAGACGUGAGGGCCUGAUCCAGACGGCGAGUCCCCAGAGCCACGGCCCCACGGUGCCCCUUCACUAAUCACAGCGUGAAGGCUUUACUGUAUGUUGAUUAUAGGGAUUAUUGUAUUAUGUGGAAUAGUCUUCUCUCUUGAGACUCAACUCUGGGAGUGAGGGUUUCUUCCUGAACUAAAUUAGACUCUAAGUGGAAAAUACUUUUAAUCAUAAUCAUUUUGCCUAUUCUAACAACAUUCUAAAAAAUUGUUUUAUGCAACUUAUCCCCACCCCAAUGCACUUAACCGACAACAAAUCACUCUCCCAGGCUUUUUUCAAGCUCUUUCCGGUUCCCUGAAUUUCUCAAAGCACUGUGCUGAUCGGAUCUUCGAGGAAAGUCGGGGACGUGAAGAGGAAAAAGGAGACCUCCAGUCAUCAGCAGUGCUGCUUGGUGGUGGAGGGGAGGGCUCCUCUUACGGGGGGUGCAUUUGUCUGGAGGUGGAAAGAGCUUUGAAACCAGGGCUCUACAAAAUGGUUCCAGGAAGAAAUAAAAAGGCCUUUCUGGUCUGAAGUGGGGCCUCUGAGAUCCCAGGGAUAUUGUUUCCUCUCAAUCGUCAGGGGUUCAAAUCCAAGGCUUGUAAUGCUAAUUUACAAUGAAAUACUGCAAAAAAAAAAAAAAACGUAGAUUACUCACUUAUUUAGGCAAAUUCUGUUUUACAGAAAUAUUGGAGGUCAGUAGAGUUUAAGGCAGAUGUUAUCGCUCAAACCUGAUUUUGGAAGUUCACGUUUCCUCCGUGGACCCAACGUGAGUCAAGUUUGCGCUGGAUGAUUUUCCGUCCCAAUCUUUGAGAAUUUCCCUCGAGUUGUAGGGUUUUAGUGGCUGUCAACGGUCAUUGUGUGUACUGUAUGUGAGCCCAACAUCAACAGACAGGCAGUGGGAGGUGGAUUGGCAAAAGGCCUGAGGGCGAACAGCUGAGGGGGGACUAUGGAGAGAUUAAAAAGGGAAUGUGGCCCUUAAUCCACUGUAACACAGCAGUCCCUCCGAGUCUCCACUCGCCGAGGGAAAGAAAAGAAAAGAAGAGCAUUCCUCCAGACGCCAUUCUCCGGCCAUCUGGCCUUAACCAAACACACAACGGCCCCGCGACCCUCCUCUACCUCCGCUCCCUCUCCAUCUCCAUCAUUGACCCGCUGAAGCCUUCUCACCGCCUCCUCCGCUCCCACUUCAGCACAAUGCCACCAGCACGGUAUUACCCUUACAUGUUCUCAGUAUAUGUGACAGAGCAGAGGCUUUUGCUAAAUCAAUAAAUACAAUUGUCAUUCAUACUCCCCUCAGUCUUGAACUUCAACUUCUUUUCACAUUACAGAAGUGAAGUACUGGGAUGAAAUCCUCGUUGUUCAUGUUGGAAUAUCUGCAACUUGCUUGAAACCAGCUGAUUUGCCCACAUCCACCAAUCCCAGUCAAGGGUUGGCUCACUUCAAAGGGAUGAUGCUGCGGUGGUGGCAAAGUGGAAUUUCCCACCUCCAGGUUCUUACACCUGUAAAAAAAAAGUAAGAAAGCGUAGUAAGUUUAAUUGUUUUUGUGUAACUCUCCCGUUUAGAUUAUAUUUGGGCUACAAGUGCAUGAUCAAGCGGCCGCUUUGAGCGAUGGUUGCGUGGCGUAUCAGGGCGCUAGCUGCUCAGUCACCCAUGUGUUGAUGCAUGAGAGGUCAAGAGAGUGCGCCCCAUCGGUCAGCUCGCAGCCGCUUCGCUGCACAACUCUCAGAAUCAAAUGGACUAUCAGAGGUGCAUGCAUUAGGUAGGCUUACUCACAUUGCAUUUCUCUGCCUCCACCAAACUCCUCCACGUUUAAACUUGAACUUGAGGCUUCAAAACGGUCGCCCACAAACCAAUGUGUGACGCCACUGUAUCAGCACCUUUGGCUCAUGAGUAAAUGUAAGUCCUCUCCAGUCUCGGCUGUGAGCAUUUAGCACACUGUUUGGAUACCCAUGUGUACAGAACCGUUCUCACACUCUUUGCACACCUUUUUAUUGACUGCUAUUCCAAAAAUGUGUCAUGUACCUGCUGUCUCAUGGGGGUGAAUCUCCCCCUCUCUGUCUUGUUCACUUCCACCUUUUUAGCCAUCGUUCCCACCAAACGCGUGGACCUUUUUUGUCACAAAUACAUUUUUUUUUCUUGUAUGCGCGUUCUGAUGUUGUUUGUUGGCGCCAACGUCUUUAACCCCCCCCCCCAAACAACUCUGACCUCCCAUCUGUCGGGCUGUAAGUGUGUGGCGGUGAGCCGAGCAUUGCCCCGCUCUGGCUUCCCUGUAACAUCCAGAAGAGACGUCUUCGUUUCGAUGGGACAAAAGGGCCGCCAAGGAUCACAGAUGUUCCCCGGGGGGGCUUAUGGGUAAUAGCCAGCUGCCUAUAGGCUGCGAGCUGGAGAUUCGGAGAGGAAGUUACAGGUAGGAGAGGAAAGCGGAGUACAGGUGUCUGGGUCCAUCAAAUUCCAUCAACAAGUUAACCUCCACUGAAAUAUCUCAAGGCCCAUUGAAAAUAUUUCGGUGUUUAACAUAUUAACUCUACACACUGUGACUGAAACUAGGCUGUGCAUCAUUUUUAUGAUUUUUAAGUCAAUAAGAAUGGAAUUUAACCAUUAGUUCGGCAGUUGAUUGUGGCCCAUCAGCUCCUCCACACAGCGCUAAGCUGACAUUCUUUGCAAGAAACAUCCUGCACUGCUGUGUAACUCUUUCUCGUAAAUGCUUUAACCAGGAUCCAAAUG